GCCAAAAACAUGGCGGAUUUCCAAGGAUUUUCACGUUUGCUGACGCCAGAAUGACGCCACUGGUCCCAAAUCCUCGUGGUAAUUACCACUGACCAACCGCGAUCCUCGGUUUCAGACGACAAUUUCACCCCCCUGGUUUUUGCACAAAAAAGCUGAAACUCUGCUGAAAAUUUUAUAUAAAAAACAUCAAGAAAAAAUGCCGAGUUUUUGCAUGGCUUCAUGAUGCCACAAUUCUUUAAUAUCAAGAAGAAACACUUCUUUUUACCGGUAAGAUGUAUAUUAAACUCUUUCUCUGUGCUUCAUUUGUACUAAAUUCUGUUUUUUAAAAGAAAAAAUUGGAUACGAAAUUUACAAAUAUAACGACGCUGUACAGCAGCUGGUGUUAUUCUGCCUUUAUCACUUUUCGUUGUGUUUUAUUUUGCCAUUUGGGUAGGUUAUAGUUUUUGUUUUCCUCUGGAGUCCUUACCCAAAGAUCCAACAGCCCCAACAUCAAUUUUCACAUACAGUAUUGUAAUAGAAAUGCCUUUAUAAGGCUUAAAAUGAUGGACAAGUGUCAAGCAGUGUCAAGUCACAAAUGCCAUGGUGUCAAUAGUCGAACUUAUCCUGGGGUUUUAAUAUAUUGUCAUAAGAGGCCCAAUAUAUGGUUGUAAUGGGCACAAAAAAGAUCAAAACUGUUCCUAACAAGUGUCUCGAGCUGUAGGAGUAUAAAGUGUUGAAUAAAAGCUUGCAAGGCUCACACUACAAUUUUGAGUUGUGAUUUUAACAGACAAUUUUAAUCUUCUUUCAUGGCUAACAUAGGAGGCAUCUCUGCGAAGGUUCCAAUAGAUAGUUGUACAAGUAAAGUUUUAGUUCAUAUAUAAAAAGGCCAGCAAAUAGACAUGAAUUUUUCUUGACGAAUAUGAAUUUAUGGAUAGUACAUGGGUGGGGAUGCUUAUUUCACAACACUCUAAUUUCUAUGUCUGAAAGAUCGACAUAUUUUAAUAUUUGAAAUGGGAAAAAAAAUAAUAUAAUGUUCAAUAGCAUGUAGAUCAAAUUAUAUACAUAAUAUAGUAGAUGACUGAUUGGAUGUAUUCUAUUACACUUUUCCAGAUGCCAAGAAAAAUCCUGAGAUGUGUUGAAAACUUGAAGAAUGCCCUGGUUAAAUUUUAUGCCACAAAGGGAAUCACCUUUGUUCAAAGCAAUUAGUAUAAUAUUCCAUUCAUCCAUCCAUCGAGGGGCAGCACUCUCCACUUGAUGAGUAAAAUCAUCUGGCGUUAGACAGAGUAAAAUACUCUGGCAUAAGACAGAGUAAAAUACUAAAAGUAGGGCACAUCAGGGUGCAGGUCAACUCAUUCAGCACUCUCCCCUUCACAAAUAAAAUUUGCCAUUAGACAGAAUAAUAAAGUAGGGUGCAUUGUGUUGCAUUCAGACUUAUCAAAGGCUUAACAGGAUGCAUAGACGC
Paramuricea clavata is the source of this 1441-nucleotide non-coding RNA. The record is from the annotation of a GenBank genome assembly. Lineage: Eukaryota; Metazoa; Cnidaria; Anthozoa; Malacalcyonacea; Plexauridae.